UACACACCGCCCGUCACACCAUGGGAGUUGGCUUUACCUGAAGGCGGUGCGCUAACCCGCAAGGGAGGCAGCCGACCACGGUAGGGUCAGCGACUGGGGUG
Molecule: ribosomal RNA, 101 nt
Filed under: uncultured bacterium
Lineage: Bacteria
Description: partial 16S ribosomal RNA
Rfam family: Bacterial small subunit ribosomal RNA
Source: RNAcentral